AUGCGCACUGGAGUGAAAAUACAGAAGUUGGUGCCCUUUGCAGCAGCCAGGAGUCCGACUCCUCCUCUUCCUGUGUGGAACCUGGAAUUCAAACGGCUGGGGCCUCACUCACGGCAUAUGGAACUAACCACGCCCCUAACUAAGAAGGCACACCUUAGUUGCAGUUAGCACACAAUUAAAGCAACUCUCCAAGUUUUACCUUAAAGUUCAAAAUUGCUAGGAGUUGAAACUACUAGAAAUAUAUUUACAUGCAAGAGUCAAAGAAACUUUGAACUAUUUAUGGCCUUUAAUAAUUAAGUAAGGUAUACUCCUGUGAUCAAGACUUGGAGCAUAUUUGUUUCUCUCUGCCUGGUUCCUCUAGAAAUUGGAAACUAUCAGAACAGAGACCAACUCCGUUUCCCGAUCCCUUUGCAAUCUGCAUUGAACCAUGAGUCAAGUUCUUGAUAAAGGAGUGAAAAUGGUAAGUCUAAAGCAAUGAAAAGCUGCUGUAUUGACUACACAUGCCUUCAUUUCUUCUACCCUGCUUCUUUCAUGCCUGCUUAUCUGAAUGACACCAGGAUGACAUUUAAGGCACAUCUGAAGAUGGGGAAACCACAGCACAGAAUAAGGCUGGGCCCUUGAAUCAAUAAAUGAAGGAGAACUACUCAAGAGAACAAAACCACCAGCAAUAUCCACCUGUAUUUGUCUUUUCAUAAUGUGUGACACAUGUGCUCAUGGAUUAUUGUCCGAAGCAAGACAUGUGACCAAGCCUAACAUCAACUGGGUGAAGAGCUAUAUGUUCCUUUCUCAAGAGGCACUACAAGUGACAUGCCACUGGGCAGUUUAGCAAAAGCUGGAGGUGCCUUGACAUUUGCAGUACACUGAAACAGUGGCUGGCUUGAAAAAUCCCAAAACGAUUUUCUGCAGGAGAGCCCUUUUGACUAAUAUGAGAAUAUUUAUGUGUGAAUCAACUAGAGGAAUGAACAUCACCUAAAGACAAAACAGGAUCUUUGUAUACAUCUUCUGGGAAGGAGUUGUUAUCAUUUCCACAAGGCCAAUUGCAUCAUUCGGAUAAAAACAUUAUAUUGUUGUCUUUAUUUGGAAGUAAAAUAUAUUUUAAAGA
This 1102-nucleotide long non-coding RNA is filed under the name Homo sapiens (human). RNAcentral's name for it is "HSALNT0358247". Lineage: Eukaryota; Metazoa; Chordata; Mammalia; Primates; Hominidae. The record is from RNAcentral.